Molecule: long non-coding RNA, 373 nt
Filed under: Heterocephalus glaber (naked mole-rat)
Lineage: Eukaryota; Metazoa; Chordata; Mammalia; Rodentia; Bathyergidae
Description: lncRNA (ENSHGLG00100043238.1)
Source: RNAcentral
CGGCCAUCACUCUCAAUGAGCCCAGGGUAACUGUCAGCGUCUCAGGUAAUACGGAUGCACAUCCUCUUACAGCAGCAGUUUCGGGCCUUCCUUGAGUGUGCUCUGGAAAACGUCGCUUGGUGCUCCCCACAGGACGACAUCCCUGAGACAAUCUUCCAGUUGGAGCUUCUUCCUCUACACACACGUCCUCCCAGAGCAAGACACCUGCAUUUAGAAUUUCAUCUCUCCAGGGAUCCCACGCUGAGGUCAGCUAAUUUUCUCUGUACAAGUGAAAUGGAGGAACAAAACAUUCUUUUCCCAAACCUAGAGCCCAAAACCUCUACCUAUAUACCACAAGGGACAAAAAAGCUUCUUUAUGCCAAUGACUAGAAGU